AGGACGAACGCUGGCGGCGUGCUUAAAACAUGCAAGUCGAACGAGACCUUUGGUCUAGUGGCGAACGGCGGAGUAAUACAUAAGCAACCUGCCUCAAAGACCGGGAUAGCCCCUCGAAAGAGGGAUUAAUACCGGAUGUGGCCCCUGAUAGGCAUCUAUCGGGGAUUAAACGAGCAAUCGGCUUUGAGAGGGGCUUGUGGCCUAUCAGCUUGUUGGUGGGUAAUGGCCUACAGGCUUCGA
This 240-nucleotide ribosomal RNA is filed under the name uncultured soil bacterium. RNAcentral's name for it is "partial 16S ribosomal RNA". It matches the Rfam family "Bacterial small subunit ribosomal RNA", at positions 26 to 279 of the family's 1533-position model. The record is from RNAcentral.